RNAcentral lists this ribosomal RNA (614 nucleotides) under Blastocystis sp. subtype 5. RNAcentral describes it as "bacterial SSU rRNA". It matches the Rfam family "Eukaryotic small subunit ribosomal RNA", at positions 1 to 603 of the family's 1831-position model. The record is from RNAcentral. Lineage: Eukaryota; Bigyra; Opalinata; Blastocystidae.
AUCUUGUGUUGAUCUCUGCGCAGUAGUCUAUACGCCUCGUCUCAAAGAAUUAAGACCAUGUCAUGUGUAUAGUAUAUAAUAAUUUCUAUCUUUGAAAACUGUCGAAUGUGCUCACUUAUAUCACGUUAUAGAUUUAUUAGAGAAUAGUUUUCUAUCUUGGAUAUACCGUAGUAAUUCUAGAGGCUAAUAUCAUGAGUAAAUCUCUCGACUUUUGAAGGAGGUGUGUUUAUUAGUAUGAAAACCAUAUGCUUUUGCAUGAUAGUGAGUAAUAAUAACCUUUCAUAUCGCCUGUUUUUAAUAGCGAUAGUUCUUUCAAGUUUCUGCCCUAUCAGCUUUCGAUGGUAGUGUAUUGGACUACCAUGGCAGUAACGGGUAACGAAGAAUUUGGGUUCGAUUUCGGAGAGGGAGCCUGAGAGAUGGCUACCACAUCCAAGGAAGGCAGCAGGCGCGUAAAUUACCCAAUCCUGACAUAGGGAGGUAGUGACAAUAAAUCACAAUGCGGGACUUUUUAGUUUUGCAAUUGGAUUGAGAACAAUGUACAAGAGUUAUCGAUAAACAAUUGGAGGGCAAGUCUGGUGCCAGCAGCCGCGGUAAUCCAGCUCCAAAAGCGUAUU